UACGGAGGAUGCGAGCGUUAUCCGGAUUUAUUGGGUUUAAAGGGUGCGUAGGCGGCGAGUUAAGUCAGCGGUAAAAGCCCGGGGCUCAACCCCGGCCCGCCGUUGAAACUGGCUGGCUUGAGUUGGGGAAAGGCAGGCGGAAUGCGCGGUGUAGCGGUGAAAUGCAUAGAUAUUACACAGAACACCGAUUGCGAAGGCAGCUUGCUAGGCCGGAUCUGACACUGAUGCACGAAAGCGUGGGGAUCGAACAGG
RNAcentral lists this ribosomal RNA (252 nucleotides) under uncultured Bacteroidales bacterium. RNAcentral's name for it is "partial 16S ribosomal RNA". It matches the Rfam family "Bacterial small subunit ribosomal RNA", at positions 524 to 776 of the family's 1533-position model. Lineage: Bacteria; Pseudomonadati; Bacteroidota; Bacteroidia; Bacteroidales. The record is from RNAcentral.